RNAcentral lists this ribosomal RNA (2593 nucleotides) under Negombata magnifica. RNAcentral describes it as "LSU rRNA". It matches the Rfam family "Bacterial large subunit ribosomal RNA". Lineage: Eukaryota; Metazoa; Porifera; Demospongiae; Poecilosclerida; Latrunculiidae. The record is from RNAcentral.
GAUAGAUUAGUAUAAACAAGUAAAGAAUGGAUGGCUAGGGUGUUAUAAUGGGCGUUAUAGACGAAAUCUUUGAGGAUAGUUAGCAAAGGUCCCCUAAAUUGAAAUAAAGCCUUAGGAAUUGAAGCUUCUUAGUACUAAGGGUAAAAAAUCAAGCGAAAUUCUGUGAGUAGUGGCGAGCGAAAGUGGAAAGAUGGCCAUUUGAAAGUUUCAAAGAGGGUAAUAGGCCCGUGAAAAUGGUGAUGAUUAGGUGAAAAGAUCAAAAAAUAUAUAAAUUUAUAUUUUUAAAGAGUAGAAUUAUUUGAAGAUGGGUGUUCCAUACAUCUAAAUUUAAAAAUUAUAACAUACCGAAAGUGCAUAAGUACUGUGAAGGAAAGCUGAAAGAGAAUGAAAGAGAAUCUGAAAUUAGUUACUUACAAGCAGACAAUAUUUGUCGUACCUUUUGAAUAAUGGGUUCGUGAGAUAAGUAUUUGGCAAAUUUAAAUUAAUAAAUGUAGGUGUAGUGAAAACAAGUUUUAAUUAUUAAGCAUUAGUCAAAUAGAGCCCGAAACCAAGUGAUCUAACCAUGGGCAGUUUGAAGCUUUCUUAAUGGAGAGUGGAGGAGCAAACUGGUGAUUGUGGCAAAAAUCUCAGAUGACCUGUGGUUAGGGGUAAAAAGCCAAUCGAACUUGGAAAUAGCUGGUUUUCUGCGAAAAUUAUUUAAGUAGUGCAUCAUUAGUUUUAAUUUUUACAUGGUAAAGCACUGAAUAGAAAUAUCUAUAGGGUAUUUUUAAUCAAACUAUGAAAGUGUAAGAAUAAAAAUGAUAGACAGACAAUGGGCGAGAAGGUUUAUUGUCUAAAAGGGAACAACCUAGAUCAGAAGUUAAGGUCAUUAAGGUCUAAUUAAGUGGGAAAGGGGCUUAUUAGGUGAGAUAAUGAGGAAGUAGGCUUGGAGUCGGCCAUCUUUGUAAGAGGACGUAACAGUUCACUCAAUAAAUUAAUGGGUCCUAAAAAUGUGGGUGGCUUAAGUUAUUAUUAUAGUAGAGACCAAAACUCUGGAUAUUGUAUUAUGGUAGUAGAACGUUCUGUAAUAAAUUGAAGUGAUUAUUACGAAAGUAUGUCUGAAGUGAUAAUGCGAACAUGAGUAAAAAAUAGUGUGAGAAUCAUUAUUCAUGGCCCAAGGUUUCCAAUAUAAGAUCUUCUGGAUUGGGUUAUGCAGCCCCUAAGAAAAUAAAUGUCAAGAGGAUAAUGGGUAAGAAAUAAUAAGUGAAAAAAAUUAUUUUUAUAAUAGGCUGUACUAAAACUAACACAAGUGGGCAUUAAGUGAUGGUAAAAUUUAUCUUAAGGAACUCGGCAAAAUGACUCUGUAAGUUCGCGAGAAAGGGUGGUAAUUAUGGGUUUUAUAAAGUGAUAAACUGAUAAUUAUUCUCAGAAAAGAGGGGGUGUCGACUGUUUACCAAAAACAUAGCUUUCAGCGAAAAGUCUUUGACUUGAAGGAUUGGAGGUGAGGCCUGCCCAAUGAUUGUAUCUAAAUUUAAAUGAUAAAAUAAGUUAUUUAAUUAAAGACAAUUAAAUGGCCGCGGUAACUCUGACCGUGAUAAUGUAGCGCAAUAAAUAGCCAAUUAAUUGUUGGCAAGUAUGAAUGGCGUAACGAAUGCCCCACUGUCUCAAGAUAAAAACCAGUGAAAUUGAAGUUGUAGUGAAGAUGCUACAGACAAGUUGUAAGACGAGAAGACCCCGUUGAGCUUUACUGGAGGCUUAAAUUGUUUUUAAAAUUAAGGUGUAGAUUAUGUGGGAACUUAUGAAAAUUCCACUCCUUAGAUAUAAGAAAACCAACCAAUAGUUUAUUGGGGAAGUUUAAGUUGGACAGUUUGGUUGGGGCGACCGCCUUCUAAAGAGUAACGAAGGUGAACAAAAGGUAAAUAAUGAAAUAGAAUAAAGUAAAAGCCUGACAGUGAGGAGGACCUCCAAGCUGACACAGGGGGAAUUAGGUAAAAUUCCAUAAUAUUAAUUAAAAUUAAUACUGUGGGUUAUAGUGACCCGUUAGUUAAGAGUGGAUUUGCUAACGAGCAACGAAUAAAAGUUACCACGGGGAUAACAGCGUAAUCUCGUUUGAGAGUUCAUAUCGAUGACGAUGUUUGCGACCUCGAUGUUGAAUUGCGAUAUCCUGGAGGUGCAGCCGCUUCCAAGGGUUGGACUGUUCGUCCAUUAAAAUCGUACAUGAUUUGAGUUCAGACCGGCGUGAGCUAGGUCGGUUUCUAUCUACAAUUUUGUUUUGAAACAUAAGAUAUAACUACACUCUAGUACGAAAGGAUUGAGUGAUAGAUAUCCGCUGGUGAACCAAUUAUUUAGGUUAAAAUAGAUUGUUGGGUAGCUACGAUAGUAUUAAUCUCUAAUUGUAAAAGUAGGGUGUAAGGGCAGAGGUUCUAAUUCUAAUCCCUGAAGGCAUCUAAAGGGAGAAGUGAAAUAUUGUUCUAUGUUUCAUAGAUAUAUUAAAAUUUAAUAAAUGAAGAAGUAUAUCUAAAGAUCGUUUGAGAAAAAGACGUGGAUAGGGUUUAUGUAAAAUUAAUAAUUUUUAUUGCAUAAGAUUACUAAAGACUAAAUACUGAUCUAUUGA